This 74-nucleotide non-coding RNA is filed under the name unclassified sequences. RNAcentral describes it as "6A RNA". It matches the Rfam family "6A RNA". From Rfam's summary of the family: Actinobacteria (1 example), Firmicutes, Fusobacteria. Terminator (Clostridia) The record is from Rfam by way of RNAcentral.
AGACUUGGUCGUAGAGCCACGACCAACACAAGGGCUUGGAAACAACCCUUUGAUUUAAAAAACGCUCACCAAGA